GGAAUUUCUUCAUCUGAUUAUGUUAGUGAUCCGGAGGAGAAGGAUAUUAGUGAUGACGAAGAUGAUGAUCGCAACCAUAAGCAUCGGAGGCGGGAGACACGCUCUCAAUCUUUGGAAAGAGAUACACAUGAACAUGUUUUGAGGCCAUAUGGAAAGCGUAGUAAACCAUUUGAAAAUGGACGUAGUUUUAGGGACAACGAUUCUCAAGCCAAUGAAG
This 217-nucleotide unclassified non-coding RNA is filed under the name Hevea brasiliensis (rubber tree). Lineage: Eukaryota; Viridiplantae; Streptophyta; Magnoliopsida; Malpighiales; Euphorbiaceae. The record is from RNAcentral.